Long non-coding RNA from Daphnia pulicaria, 867 nucleotides. RefSeq lists it as uncharacterized. Lineage: Eukaryota; Metazoa; Arthropoda; Branchiopoda; Diplostraca; Daphniidae. The transcript has 5 exons. The record is from RefSeq and is a predicted model, not a curated record.
CGAUUUUGGCCAAAUUUUGGAUUUCGUUAAAAUCACACUUAAUCGACCCCAAAUUUCAUGGAGAUCACAAAUAUAUGGUUUAAUUUUAUGGCAGCUCAAUGGUUAAGGUGCUGUGGCUUACUUCUGGUAUACUUCCGGAAAAUUUGCAUAAAACUAGCAAGUGAGCUUUGUUUUCUGUACAGUUCUAAGGAUUGAAUGCUAGGUUUUAGCAAACAAAUAUAGACUUUUCAAGUUUUGUGAGUAUCUUAAGACCAGUCCUUCAAAUAUUGAGUUUUGAGACGUGUCAAAUAGAUGGCGUGUUGAUUGUGUCAGUUAUGGAAUGGCGGUUUGCUGUCAAAAGUUUCUUCGAAAAUUACCAAUGAAUUCAUAGGAGGAAAUGUGAAAGGUCGUGGCCGUCGUGCAGCCUACCGUCAACUAUUUUGUUCAAAAUCAUUGUAUUCCACUGAAUGUGCCAUUGAAAUUAUACAGGAGUCAUAAUUAUCUGCUGUUUGUAUUGGACUUGCUAGAUCAUCAACCCCAGGCCCCCAGCAUAGACCAAUCUCUCAUUUCAUCUUCUCGAGAGAAGAUUGGAUAAUUGAUUGGUGGUUUCAUGUGUUCUAAACUCCAGGUUUCUAAAUUUGCAUGGCAGACUUUAUGAGAAGUCAUGUCCUUUCAAGAAAGUCAACAAGGUCCCUUGUUUACUAACCUGUUUGCUGCUACCUUUGAAUCUCCCUUUUUACUUUCUUAAGCAGGCAUCUUUACUUGAGGGUAAUCCUUCGAUAUUUGUCAUGGACUUCAUCCACUGGUGAAAACCGACGAGAGAAUGCUGUAAUCCAAGACUGAUAAAUUGUGUAGUUAAUUAGAUAAAAUUAUCAGUGCAUAUCUGGG